Molecule: ribosomal RNA, 464 nt
Filed under: uncultured soil bacterium
Lineage: Bacteria
Description: bacterial SSU rRNA
Rfam family: Bacterial small subunit ribosomal RNA
Source: RNAcentral
ACGGCAGCACAGCAGAGCUUGCUCUGUGGGUGGCGAGUGGCGGACGGGUGAGUAAUGCAUCGGGACCUACCCAGACGUGGGGGAUAACGUAGGGAAACUUACGCUAAUACCGCAUACGUCCUACGGGAGAAAGCGGGGGACCUUCGGGCCUCGCGCGGUUGGAUGGACCGAUGUGCGAUUAGCUUGUUGGUGAGGUAACGGCUCACCAAGGCGACGAUCGCUAGCUGGUCUGAGAGGAUGAUCAGCCACACUGGGACUGAGACACGGCCCAGACUCCUACGGGAGGCAGCAGUGGGGAAUAUUGGACAAUGGGCGCAAGCCUGAUCCAGCAAUGCCGCGGGUGUGAAGAAGGCCUUCGGGUUGUAAAGCACUUUUAUCAGGAGCGAAAUCUGCAGGGCUAAUACCCAUGCAGUCUGACGGUACCUGAGGAAUAAGCACCGGCUAACUCCGUGCCAGCAGCCGCG